This 389-nucleotide ribosomal RNA is filed under the name uncultured bacterium. Its description in RNAcentral is "bacterial SSU rRNA". It matches the Rfam family "Bacterial small subunit ribosomal RNA", at positions 29 to 419 of the family's 1533-position model. The record is from RNAcentral.
AUUGAACGCUGGCGGCGUGCCUAACACAUGCAAGUCGAGCGGUAACAGGUGUAGCAAUACAUGCUGACGAGCGGCGAACGGGUGAGUAAUGCUUCGGAAUCUACCCAAUGGUGGGAAUAACCAGCCGAAAGGUUGGCUAAUACCGCAUACGUCCCACGGGAGAAAGCAGGGGAUCGCAAGACCUUGCGCCAAUCGAUGAGCCGAAGUCGGAUUAGCUAGUUGGAGGGUAACGGCCUACCAAGGCGACGAUCCGUAGCUGGUCUGAGAGGACGACCAGCCACACUGGGACUGAGACACGGCCCAGACUCCUACGGGAGGCAGCAGUGGGGAAUAUUGGACAAUGGGGGAAACCCUGAUCCAGCGACGCCGCGUGUGUGAAGAAGGCCUGC